Chiloscyllium plagiosum (whitespotted bambooshark) is the source of this 837-nucleotide non-coding RNA. Lineage: Eukaryota; Metazoa; Chordata; Chondrichthyes; Orectolobiformes; Hemiscylliidae. The record is from RefSeq and is a predicted model, not a curated record.
UCCAGAUCUUCAUCUGAUGACGUGACUCGGAUUUGGUACAGAUGGGUUGUGAACAGCAGUGUAAGAGCCUUGAGUCCUCCAAUAUUGAGUGUAGAAGAAUCGGCCGGCCAGACUCUGCCGCUCUCUGUUGCCACUGCAUUCAAGACAAAUAACCUGGACUGGGUCAAUGCUAAUCCCAAUCAACUCCAACAUUCCGUUAAGGCUUUGUGGAAACAUCAGAGCAAAGACAAGGCACCGACCCACGUAAAGUCAGAAUCUGUUGUCCAGGAAGAGACUGCUCAAUAAUUACCUAUGCGUUGCAGUAGCUUCUUGAUGCAAAUAACAUGACAAAAUGGCUUCACGGCUGCAAAUUGACAAUUCUGCUUCAUCUGCAUAAAAUAGUUUUUAAGUUACGAACUGCUAAUUCUGCUAUUGCUGCAUAAUUGAAUAAUCACAGUCUGCUUCAAUAGAGAUUAGUAGACAAUACUCCCUUUACAGCAUAGAAAUAACUAGACUAGAUAAGACAUUACUGGCCUUCCUAAUUAACCUUCCGAUGCAGGUGCAAUGGCUCGGUUAGUGAGAGAAGGGUGGCUUGAGUGUUGGAAAACAAAGUUGGUUCUCAGGAAAUAUCAUUGGACCAAAUAACUGUCAAAUAAAGGAUCGUGUAUCGUGUAUUGAUUGGUAAUUGUCUGAAUGUACUAUUGAUCAUGGCCUGUACCUUUCUUUAAGAAAAGUAUAAAAAUGUCUUUGUUUUAAGCCAUGUACACAGCUCCUCUGAGAAACAUGCAAGUGUAUAAUCUCUCUGUUUCUGGACGCUCUGUGCUGGUCAUAUGAAAAAUGAAGAGUGACGUUUUAAAA